UGGGGAAUUUUCCGCAAUGGGCGCAAGCCUGACGGAGCAAUACCGCGUGAGGGAGGAUGGCUUUUGGGUUGUAAACCUCUUUUCUCAAGGAAGAAGUCCUGACGGUACUUGAGGAAUCAGCAUCGGCUAACUCCGUGCCAGCAGCCGCGGUAAUACGGAGGAUGCAAGCGUUAUUCGGAAUUAUUGGGCGUAAAGCGUCCGCAGGUGGUGCCUCAAGUCUGCUGUCAAAGACCGAAGCUCAACUUCGGGCAGGCAGUGGAAACUGAAGCACUAGAGUACGGUAGGGGUAGAGGGAAUUUCCAGUGUAGCGGUGAAAUGCGUAGAUAUCGGAAGGAACACCAGUGGCGAAGGCGACUUCCUGGACCAAUACUGACGCUGAGGUGCGAAAGCGUGGGGAGCAAACAGGAUUAGAUACCCGUGUAGUCC
Molecule: ribosomal RNA, 426 nt
Filed under: uncultured prokaryote
Description: bacterial SSU rRNA
Rfam family: Bacterial small subunit ribosomal RNA
Source: RNAcentral